This 458-nucleotide ribosomal RNA is filed under the name uncultured bacterium. Its description in RNAcentral is "partial 16S ribosomal RNA". It matches the Rfam family "Bacterial small subunit ribosomal RNA", at positions 29 to 507 of the family's 1533-position model. The record is from RNAcentral.
AACGAACGCUGGCGGCAUGCCUAACACAUGCAAGUCGAACGAGCCCUUCGGGUCUAGUGGCGCACGGGUGCGUAACGCGUGGGAACCUGCCCUUAGGUUCGGCAUCACUCACCGAUGGGGGUGCUAAUACCGGAUAAUGUCUUCGGCCCAAAGCUUUAUCGCCUUUGUAUGGGCCCGCGUUGGAUUAGCUAGUUGGUAUGGUAAAGGCCUACCAAGGCGACGAUGCGUAGCUGAUCUGAGAGGAUGAUCAGCCACACUGGGACUGAGACACGGCCCAGACGCCUACGGGAGGCAGCAGUAGGGAAUCUUCCGCAAUGGACGAAAGUCUGACGGAGAAACGCCGCGUGAGUGAUGAAGGUUUUCGGAUCGUAAAACUCUGUUGUCAGGGAAGAACAAGUACCGGAGUAACUGCCGGUACCUUGACGGUACCUGACCAGAAAGCCACGGCUAACUACGUG